Small nuclear RNA from Dipodomys ordii (Ord's kangaroo rat), 107 nucleotides. The record is from Ensembl. NCBI's taxonomy places the organism in Eukaryota, Metazoa, Chordata, Mammalia, Rodentia, Heteromyidae.
GUGCUUGCUUUUCCAGCACAUAUACUACAAUUGGAAUGAUAUAGAGAAGAUUACCAUAGCCUCUGUGCAAGGAUGACAGGUAAAUUCAUCAAGUGUUCCAUAUUUUU